Molecule: ribosomal RNA, 320 nt
Filed under: uncultured bacterium
Lineage: Bacteria
Description: bacterial SSU rRNA
Rfam family: Bacterial small subunit ribosomal RNA
Source: RNAcentral
GACGAACGCUGGCGGCGUGCCUAAUACAUGCAAGUCGUACGCAUUGACGAUGGAACUUGUUCCAUCUGACGUGAGUGGCGCACGGGUGAGUAACACGUGGGUAACCUGCCCUUCAGUGGGGGAUAACAUCCGGAAACGGGUGCUAAUACCGCAUAGUUUCUUUUUCCGCCUGGAAGAAGAAGGAAAGAUGGAGCAAUCUGCUGCUUGGGGAUGGGCCUGCGGCGCAUUAGCUAGUUGGUGGGGUAAUGGCCCACCAAGGCGACGAUGCGUAGCCGACCUGAGAGGGUGAACGGCCACACUGGGACUGAGACACGGCCCAG